Molecule: microRNA precursor, 113 nt
Organism: Gorilla gorilla gorilla (western lowland gorilla)
Lineage: Eukaryota; Metazoa; Chordata; Mammalia; Primates; Hominidae
Product: ggo-mir-1250
Source: Ensembl
CUGUCCCGCUGGCCUGGCAGGUGACGGUGCUGGAUGUGGCCUUUUUGCCUUUUCUAAAGGCCACGUUUUCCAGCCCAUUCAACCUUCCAGAGCCCUCUGAGGUGGCCGCAGGC